Molecule: ribosomal RNA, 427 nt
Filed under: uncultured bacterium
Lineage: Bacteria
Description: bacterial SSU rRNA
Rfam family: Bacterial small subunit ribosomal RNA
Source: RNAcentral
AGCGAACGCUAGCGGCAGGCCUCAAACAUGCAAGUCGAACGCGAAAGGUAGCAAUACCGAGUAGAGUGGCGCACGGGCGAGUAACACGUAACUAACUUCCCCCCUCGCUGGGGACAACUCCGGGAAACCGGAGCUAAUACCGAAUAAUCUCUCAGGAACUGCGGUUCUUGCGGGUAAAGUCGUAAGACGCGAAGGGAUAGGGUUGCGGCCUAUUAGUUUGUUGGUGAGGUAAUGGCUCACCAAGACGACGAUAGGUAGCUGGUCUGAGAGGACGAUCAGCCACACUGGAACUGACACACGGUCCAGACUCCCACGGGAGGCAGCAGUUGGGAAUAUUGGACAAUGGGCGAAAGCCUGAUCCAGCCAUGCCGCGUGAAGGAUGAAGGCCUUCGGGUCGUAAACUUCUUUCAGUUCCCACAAAGGGGCA